Molecule: long non-coding RNA, 444 nt
Filed under: Populus trichocarpa (black cottonwood)
Lineage: Eukaryota; Viridiplantae; Streptophyta; Magnoliopsida; Malpighiales; Salicaceae
Description: long non-coding RNA (PTRI_LNC000453)
Source: RNAcentral
CUAAACCUAUCUUUUUCCAUCGGGCAACCGUUCACCCCCUUUUUUGCCCAAACACAAACUAGAGCAGCCACAUCUGAACUCCCCCAUCUCACCGUCACCUUCCUCUCCCUCUCAGUCAUCUCCUCCCAUCUCCCCGUCUCAUUCCCUACUCACCAGCCAAACAGAUCAGACAAGUCCCCCUUUCUUCCUGUCUCUCAGUCGUCCCCAUCUUCCCCCCGGCUUGAAUUUUUCUCCCCAACACAGACCCCUCUAACCGCUACAUCUUCUUCUCCUCUUUCAGCCAACAACAUAGAGCAGCUCAAGCCCUUCCCAUCGCCAUUUUCCCUGCAAAAUCAAGGAUCCCUCACGCUCUCCUUCCACCUCCAACAGUGUCGUGCUCCCCGUCGCCUCAGACCCACGGUCUCUCCUCCGUUCGACCCUAGUGGCGGCCAAAUAGCAGCAGCC